UAACCCUGCGGAGUGCUCAGGUCCGCCGCAUCUCCUGGGUCCGUAGGGUUCGGCCGGCCGGAGGCGGCUAGAGUGGCCUCCUCGUAUAGGUCGUCUUCGGUCGGCCACCUC
RNAcentral lists this small RNA (111 nucleotides) under Lutibaculum baratangense AMV1. Its description in RNAcentral is "Phyllobacteriaceae bacterium AMV1 EcpR1". It matches the Rfam family "EcpR1". From Rfam's summary of the family: Perviously named SmelC291, SmrC10, or Sra33. According to its overproduction phenotype it was renamed Elongated Cell Phenotype RNA1. Induced by stress,EcpR1 negatively regulates cell cycle master regulatory genes dnaA and gcrA at post-transcriptional level by base pairing between its strongly conserved GC-rich loop and the target mRNAs. The record is from Rfam by way of RNAcentral. Lineage: Bacteria; Pseudomonadati; Pseudomonadota; Alphaproteobacteria; Hyphomicrobiales; Tepidamorphaceae.